Molecule: long non-coding RNA, 2516 nt
Filed under: Homo sapiens (human)
Lineage: Eukaryota; Metazoa; Chordata; Mammalia; Primates; Hominidae
Description: HSALNT0297529
Source: RNAcentral
AGGCCUGGUGCGUAAGUCUACCCCACACAGUCCUUUGCGAUUUUCCUCUCCCACUUUGGGAGCCAGUGGAUGAAGAGGGUGGAACCAUAGAAUAGAAGGAACCCAGAUACAGAUCACUGUUCAGAGGAGAGCUGCCUGCCAGUCAGGAAGACCCAUUUUGGACUUUAUAAAUGCUCUGACCUUAAAAGGAAUAUUGGAGGCAGGAGGAAACAGAGGAAGCAAGAAGAAUUUCCUGGAAGGAAGAUGACCACGGCCCCUCUGUUCCCUCGCCUGUGUGCCAAAUGGAUCCACAGCUAGAGACAAGCUCCUUCCCUUUGAACGGUGGGAAGCAGGCCAAGAUGUUUUAAAGACAGAUGGCAUCAGAUGCAGAGAAGCAAGCUGGAACUCGGAGCACAGCUGCCUUAUUUACUUACCUACUGGCUGCAUUUCUGAGAACCAGUUUUAUUCCUGUUCAAAGGAAGCCAGGCAGAGUUGGGAAAAUAUUUUCCUAGCCAGCUCCUUAGCACCACUGUCUGAGGGAAACCAUCUGGCCAAGAUGCCCUUCAAACUUCUUCUCGGCGCUGCAUUUUGAAUUGUUUCUACUAGUGUAUCUUGAAGUUUACUAAGCUUUUCUUCUGGAGUGUCUAAGAUGCUGUUCAUCUCGGCCAGUAUUUUUUCAUCUGUAGAAUUUAAUUCAGUCUUUUUUUAUGUUCUCCAUAUCUCUCCUUAACAUGCUCAUACAUUCUUCUACCUUUGUGAACACAUGGAGUAUAUUAUCACUUUUUAAUAUUCUGCUCCGCAUAAUUCUAGCAUCUGUAUCAUUUCUGUUUCAGUCAAUUUAUUUUUCUUCUUAUUCUGGGUCAUAUUUUCUUUUUGUUUUGUUUUGUUUUGUUUUCAGAAAGAGUCUCGCUCUGUCGCCCAGGUUGGAGUGCAGUGGCACGAUCUCGGCUCACUGAAACCUCCGUCUCCCGGGUUCAAGCGAUUCUCCUACCUCAGCGUUCCGAGUAGCUGGGACUACAGGUGCGCACCGCCACGCCCGGCUAAUUUUUGUAUUUUUUUGUAGAGACGGGGUUUUGCCAUGUUGCCCAGGCUUGUCUCGAAUUCCUGAGCUCAAGCAGUUCGCCCGCUUUGGCCCCUCAAAGUGUUGGGACUACAGGUGUAAGCCACUGUGCCCGGCCCUGGGUCGUAUUUUCCUGCCUCUUUGUAUGCCUGUUAAGGUUUGAUUGGAUGCCAGAUGUGGCUGGAAAGGUCACUCAUGAUUAGUUACUUCUACUAAUUCUCUGACUUCAUCUUCUAAUCUCCACCCCUCCCAGGUCUCUGAUUUUGCCACCCUGAACUUCUUGCACACUUCCUCGUUCAUUUGCACAUGCUGUCCCCUUUCUCUGGGGCACUCUUCCCUAGGCGGUCCCCAUGGGUUUCUCCCUAACUUCAUUUGGGUCUGUGUUCAAAUGUCACAUUACCAAAAACAUUCUAUCACCUUUCCUUGCUUUAUUUGCCUUUAAACAUUUAUAACCACUUGCCAGCCAUGUUACUUACUGAUUGUCUAUUUUUACCUCACCGCCCACCUCUGCUAAAAUGUACCAUGACAGCAUCACCGAGAACUACUGCCAUCAGCUAUAUAAUGAAACUAUUUUUAAGCAACAACAACAGCAGCAGAGAAGAGGGACCAACAGGGUCCAAUGCAUCAGAGGGGUCCAAACUGGUAAGCACUGAAAAAUAUCUAUUGAAUCGGACAAUUAGGAGGACUAACCUCCUCAAGAGUAAGUUCCUGCAGUUUGCUGGAUAAAGGGCAUCAGAGCGCCGUGGGUUGGGUUGAGGACAUCUUCUCCCUUACAGCCUCCUGGUUCUUCUCUCAGAAAAACUUCUCCUCCUUCCCAGCUCAAUCCUAUUUAUUUAUUUUAAAAUUUAUUGUGUAUAUUUAAGGUAUACAACAUGCUGUUAUAGGAUACACAUAGUUAGUAAAAUAUUUACUAUAGCAAAGCAAAUGAACAUCUCUGUCGUCUCCGCACAGUUACCCAUUUUUGUUGCUUUUGUGGCAAGAGCAGCUACAAUCUAGUCAUUUAGUAGGAAUCCCAAGUACAGUGCGAUUUUAUGACCUACAACCAUCAUGGUGUACAUUAGAUCUCUCCACACACCUGUUACAUUGUAUCCUCUGACCUACGUCUUCCCAUUUCUUCCUCCCAUUCCUCCCCAGCCUGCUUCCACCCCAGUAACUGCUGUUUUAUUAUCUGCGUCUGCACAUUUGAUUUUGUUUUUAGAUUCCACAUGUAAGUGACAUCAUGCACUAUUUUUUUUUCCUGUCUGACGCAUUUCACUCAGCAUAGUGUCUUCCAGGUUAAUCCAUGUUGUGCCAAACGACAGGACCUUCUUUUUAAAGGCUGAAUAAUAUUCCAUUGUAUACAGAUGCCACAGUUUUUUAAAUCCAUUCCUCCAUCGACACUUGGGUGGUUCCAUAUCUUGACUAUUGUGAAGAAUGCUGCGUGAAAAUAGAAGUGCAGCCUGAGCUUUUGCUGCGAUCUCCAAAAAAUCAUUGCCAG